GAUAUAAGGCACUUUGGCUGUGACACUGGCAUCCCCUUGGUCACUAGGGUGGAUCCGGCUCAACUGGCUGAAUGGGUGGUCCCCUUCUACCCUCACUAUUC
This 101-nucleotide small RNA is filed under the name Loxodonta africana (African savanna elephant). RNAcentral's name for it is "7SK RNA (ENSLAFG00000033136.1)". The record is from RNAcentral. Lineage: Eukaryota; Metazoa; Chordata; Mammalia; Proboscidea; Elephantidae.